RNAcentral lists this ribosomal RNA (634 nucleotides) under Bacillus licheniformis. RNAcentral describes it as "bacterial SSU rRNA". It matches the Rfam family "Bacterial small subunit ribosomal RNA", at positions 1 to 623 of the family's 1533-position model. The record is from RNAcentral. Lineage: Bacteria; Bacillati; Bacillota; Bacilli; Caryophanales; Bacillaceae.
UUAGUUUGAUCAUGGCUCAGGACGAACGCGGGCGGCGUGCCUAAUACAUGCAAGUCGAGCGGACCGACGGGAGCUUGCUCCUUUAGGUCAGCGGCGGACGGGUGAGUAACACGUGGGUAACCUGCCUGUAAGACUGGGAUAACUCCGGGAAACCGGGGCUAAUACCGGAUGCUUGAUUGAACCGCAUGGUUCAAUCAUAAAAGGUGGCUUUCAGCUACCACUUACAGAUGGACCCGCGGCGCAUUAGCUAGUUGGUGAGGUAACGGCUCACCAAGGCGACGAUGCGUAGCCGACCUGAGAGGGUGAUCGGCCACACUGGGACUGAGACACGGCCCAGACUCCUACGGGAGGCAGCAGUAGGGAAUCUUCCGCAAUGGACGAAAGUCUGACGGAGCAACGCCGCGUGAGUGAUGAAGGUUUUCGGAUCGUAAAACUCUGUUGUUAGGGAAGAACAAGUACCGUUCGAAUAGGGCGGUACCUUGACGGUACCUAACCAGAAAGCCACGGCUAACUACGUGCCAGCAGCCGCGGUAAUACGUAGGUGGCAAGCGUUGUCCGGAAUUAUUGGGCGUAAAGCGCGCGCAGGCGGUUUCUUAAGUCUGAUGUGAAAGCCCCCGGCUCAACCGGGGAGGGU